RNAcentral lists this ribosomal RNA (472 nucleotides) under uncultured organism. RNAcentral describes it as "partial 16S ribosomal RNA". It matches the Rfam family "Bacterial small subunit ribosomal RNA", at positions 334 to 797 of the family's 1533-position model. The record is from RNAcentral.
CACUCCUGCGGGAGGCAGCAGUGGGGAAUUUUGGACAAUGGGCGAAAGCCUGAUCCAGCAAUGCCGCGUGUGUGAAGAAGGCCUUCGGGUUGUAAAGCACUUUUGUCCGGAAAGAAAUCCUUGGCUCUAAUACAGUCGGGGGAUGACGGUACCGGAAGAAUAAGCACCGGCUAACUACGUGCCAGCAGCCGCGGUAAUACGUAGGGUGCGAGCGUUAAUCGGAAUUACUGGGCGUAAAGCGUGCGCAGGCGGUUUGCUAAGACCGAUGUGAAAUCCCCGGGCUCAACCUGGGAACUGCAUUGGUGACUGGCAGGCUAGAGUAUGGCAGAGGGGGGUAGAAUUCCACGUGUAGCAGUGAAAUGCGUAGAGAUGUGGAGGAAUACCGAUGGCGAAGGCAGCCCCCUGGGCCAAUACUGACGCUCAUGCACGAAAGCGUGGGGAGCAAACAGGAUUAGAAACCCCUGUAGUCCCA